Molecule: ribosomal RNA, 486 nt
Filed under: uncultured bacterium
Lineage: Bacteria
Description: partial 16S ribosomal RNA
Rfam family: Bacterial small subunit ribosomal RNA
Source: RNAcentral
AGUGAACGCUGGCGGCGUGCUUAACACAUGCAAGUCGAACGAGAACGGGAUAUAGCUUGCUAUAUUUGUCAGCUAAGUGGCGCACGGGUGAGUAAUGUAUAGAUAACCUGCCCUCUAGAAAGGAAUAACAGUUGGAAACGACUGCUAAUGCCCUAUAUGCCUUUAAUACAUAAGUAUGCAAGGGAAACGCUUUAGUGCUAGAGGAUGGGUCUGUAUGGUAUCAGCUUGUUGGUGAGGUAAUGGCUCACCAAGGCUAUGACGCCUAACUGGUUUGAGAGGAUGAUCAGUCACACUGGAACUGGGACACGGUCCAGACUCCUACGGGAGGCAGCAGUGGGGAAUAUUGCACAAUGGACGAAAGUCUGAUGCAGCAACGCCGCGUGGAGGAUGACACAUUUUGGUGCGUAAACUCCUUUUAUAUAGGAAGAUAAUGACGGUACUAUAUGAAUAAGCACCGGCUAACUCCGCGCCAGCAGCCGCCAGUAA